GGGGAUGAUAUUGGAAUCGACGGAGAUUGGGAUGGUAGGAGCAGCAUGCCGCGGUUACCGAGUCCGCGUAACAAAUCGGUGAAAACAAUAAGUGCGAACUAUAAUUACGCAUUGGCUGCUUAAUUAAAUAAGCAACCCGUCCACUCAAAAGUUUUGCUCGCCGGCUUUGAGAUGGGCGUCGACCAGACGAGCAUCUCAUUGCCCUGUUCUCAGUGGGGCAACGAGAUUACAAACUGAGAUAUUCGGGUCACAGCUCUGUCCCACGAGUAGUGCCCGAAGAAGUAUCAAGAUGGGACUACGCAUGUAGAAGCUUCUAUGGUCCUAUCUUCGGACCGGGGUUCGAAUCCCCGCAUCUCCACAA
Molecule: transfer-messenger RNA, 361 nt
Filed under: Candidatus Kryptoniota bacterium
Lineage: Bacteria; Pseudomonadati; Candidatus Kryptoniota
Description: Candidatus Kryptonia bacterium (hot springs metagenome) transfer-messenger RNA
Rfam family: transfer-messenger RNA
About the family: Bacterial tmRNA, also known as 10Sa RNA or SsrA, is named for its dual tRNA and mRNA-like properties. Its role is to liberate the mRNA from a stalled ribosome.
Source: RNAcentral